This 71-nucleotide transfer RNA is filed under the name Halomarina oriensis. Its description in RNAcentral is "tRNA-Ala". It matches the Rfam family "tRNA". Rfam says of the family: Transfer RNA (tRNA) molecules are approximately 80 nucleotides in length. The record is from RNAcentral. Lineage: Archaea; Methanobacteriati; Methanobacteriota; Halobacteria; Halobacteriales; Natronomonadaceae.
GGACAGGUAGCUCAAGGGUAGAGCGGACGACUCGCGAUCGCAACGUGCUGGUUCGAGUCCAGCCCUGUCCA